RNAcentral lists this ribosomal RNA (244 nucleotides) under uncultured bacterium. RNAcentral's name for it is "partial small subunit ribosomal RNA". It matches the Rfam family "Bacterial small subunit ribosomal RNA", at positions 26 to 285 of the family's 1533-position model. The record is from RNAcentral.
AGAAUCAACGCUGGCGGCGUGCCUAACACAUGCAAGUCGAACGAGAAAGUGGAGCAAUCCAUUAGUAAAGUGGCGCACGGGUGAGUAACACGUGACUAACCUACCCUUGAGUGGGGGAUAACCUAGAGAAAUCUGGGCUAAUACCGCAUAAUACCUUCGGGUCAAAGGAGCAAUUCGCUUUAGGAGGGGUCGCGGCCGAUUAGUUAGUUGGCGGGGUAAUGGCCCACCAAGACUGUGAUCGGUA